AUUGAACGCUGGCGGCAUGCCUUACACAUACAAGUCGAACGGCAGCACGGGAGCAAUCCUGGUGGCGAGUGGCGAACGGGUGAGUAAAGUAUCGGAACGUGCCCAGUCGUGGGGGAUAACGUAGCGAAAGUUACGCUAAUACCGCAUACGAUCUAUGGACGAAAGCGGGGGAUCGCAAGACCUCGCGCGAUUGGAGCGGCCGAUAUCAGAUUAGGUAGUUGGUGGGGUAAAGGCUCACCAAGCCGACGAUCUGUAGCUGGUCUGAGAGGACGACCAGCCACACUGGGACGGGGACACGGCCCAGACUCCUACGGGAGGCAGCAGUGGGGAAUUUUGGACAAUGGGCGAAAGCCUGAUCCAGCCAUGCCGCGUGCAGGAUGAAGGCCUUCGGGUUGUAAACUGCUUUUGUACGGAACGAAAAGGUUUGGCCUAAUAAGCUGAGCUCAUGACGGUACCGUAAGAAUAAGUACCGGCUAACUACGUGCCAGCCGCCGCGGUAA
This 500-nucleotide ribosomal RNA is filed under the name uncultured bacterium. RNAcentral describes it as "partial 16S ribosomal RNA". It matches the Rfam family "Bacterial small subunit ribosomal RNA", at positions 30 to 523 of the family's 1533-position model. The record is from RNAcentral.